AUACCACAGGGGGUAUAGCACUUUUUCGCUAGGGGCUCAUCCCGACUUACCAACCCGAUGCAAACUCCGAAUACCUGUGAGUACUAUCCGGGAGACACACGGCGGGGGCUAACGUCCGUCGUGGAGAGGGAAACAACCCAGACCGCCAGCUAAGGUCCCCAAGUACCAGUUAAGUGGGAAACGAUGUGGGAAGGCUCAGACAGCUAGGAGGUUGGCUUAGAAGCAGCCAUCCUUUAAAGAAAGCGUAA
This 248-nucleotide ribosomal RNA is filed under the name Alexandrium margalefii. RNAcentral describes it as "partial Bacterial large subunit ribosomal RNA". It matches the Rfam family "Bacterial large subunit ribosomal RNA", at positions 890 to 1137 of the family's 2925-position model. The record is from RNAcentral. Lineage: Eukaryota; Dinophyceae; Gonyaulacales; Pyrocystaceae.